RNAcentral lists this ribosomal RNA (860 nucleotides) under Rhodococcus wratislaviensis. Its description in RNAcentral is "bacterial SSU rRNA". It matches the Rfam family "Bacterial small subunit ribosomal RNA", at positions 56 to 923 of the family's 1533-position model. Lineage: Bacteria; Bacillati; Actinomycetota; Actinomycetes; Mycobacteriales; Nocardiaceae. The record is from RNAcentral.
UGCAGUCGAGCGGUAAGGCCCUUCGGGGUACACGAGCGGCGAACGGGUGAGUAACACGUGGGUGAUCUGCCCUGCACUUCGGGAUAAGCCUGGGAAACUGGGUCUAAUACCGGAUAUGACCUUCGGCUGCAUGGCUGAGGGUGGAAAGGUUUACUGGUGCAGGAUGGGCCCGCGGCCUAUCAGCUUGUUGGUGGGGUAAUGGCCUACCAAGGCGACGACGGGUAGCCGACCUGAGAGGGUGACCGGCCACACUGGGACUGAGACACGGCCCAGACUCCUACGGGAGGCAGCAGUGGGGAAUAUUGCACAAUGGGCGAAAGCCUGAUGCAGCGACGCCGCGUGAGGGAUGACGGCCUUCGGGUUGUAAACCUCUUUCAGCAGGGACGAAGCGAAAGUGACGGUACCUGCAGAAGAAGCACCGGCCAACUACGUGCCAGCAGCCGCGGUAAUACGUAGGGUGCAAGCGUUGUCCGGAAUUACUGGGCGUAAAGAGCUCGUAGGCGGUUUGUCGCGUCGUCUGUGAAAACUCGAGGCUCAACCUCGAGCUUGCAGGCGAUACGGGCAGACUUGAGUACUGCAGGGGAGACUGGAAUUCCUGGUGUAGCGGUGAAAUGCGCAGAUAUCAGGAGGAACACCGGUGGCGAAGGCGGGUCUCUGGGCAGUAACUGACGCUGAGGAGCGAAAGCGUGGGUAGCGAACAGGAUUAGAUACCCUGGUAGUCCACGCCGUAAACGGUGGGCGCUAGGGUGUGGGUUUCCUUCCACGGGGAUCCGUGCCGUAGCUAACGCAUUAAGCGCCCCCGCCUGGGGGAGUACGGGCCGCAAGGGCUAANAACUCAAAAGGAAUUUGACGGGGGGCCC